UAGCGUAUAUUAUUAUUAUUUUUUGAGUUGGAAUCUCACUCUAUCACCCAGGCUGGAGUGCAG
RNAcentral lists this small nucleolar RNA (63 nucleotides) under Carlito syrichta (Philippine tarsier). Its description in RNAcentral is "Small nucleolar RNA Me28S-Am2634 (ENSTSYG00000034666.1)". The record is from RNAcentral. Lineage: Eukaryota; Metazoa; Chordata; Mammalia; Primates; Tarsiidae.